GAUGAACGCUGGCGGCGUGCCUAAUACAUUCAAGUCGAGCGAACAGAUGAGGAGCUUGCUCCUCUGACGUUAGCGGCGGACGGGUGAGUAACACGUGGAUAACCUACCUAUAAGACUGGGAUAACUUCGGGAAACCGGAGCUAAUACCGGAUAAUAUAUUGAACCGCAUGGUUCAAUAGUGAAAGACGGUUUUGCUGUCACUUAUAGAUGGAUCCGCGCCGCAUUAGCUAGUUGGUAAGGUAACGGCUUACCAAGGCAACGAUGCGUAGCCGACCUGAGAGGGUGAUCGGCCACACUGGAACUGAGACACGGUCCAGACUCCUACGGGAGGCAGCAGUAGGGAAUCUUCCGCAAUGGGCGAAAGCUUGACGGAUCAACGCCGCGUGAGUGAUGAAGGUCUUCGGAUCGUAAAACUCUGUUAUUAGGGAAGAACAAAUGUGUAAGUAACUAUGCACGUCUUGACGGUACCUAAUCAGAAAGCCACGGCUAACUACGUG
This 497-nucleotide ribosomal RNA is filed under the name uncultured bacterium. RNAcentral describes it as "partial 16S ribosomal RNA". It matches the Rfam family "Bacterial small subunit ribosomal RNA", at positions 28 to 507 of the family's 1533-position model. The record is from RNAcentral.